This 493-nucleotide ribosomal RNA is filed under the name uncultured bacterium. RNAcentral's name for it is "partial 16S ribosomal RNA". It matches the Rfam family "Bacterial small subunit ribosomal RNA", at positions 29 to 507 of the family's 1533-position model. The record is from RNAcentral.
ACGAACGCUGGCGGCGUGCUUAACACAUGCAAGUCGAACGGUGAAGCGCCUUCCUUUUUGGUGGGUGUGGAUGAGUGGCGAACGGGUGAGUAACACGUGAGUAACCUGCCCCCUUCUUCUGGAUAACCGCAUGAAAGUGUGGCUAAUACGGGAUAUUCUGGGUCUGUCGCAUGAUGGGUCUGGGAAAGAUAUUGUUUCGGUGGGGGAUGGGCUCGCGGCCUAUCAGCUUGUUGGUGGGGUGAUGGCCUACCAAGGCGGUGACGGGUAGCCGGCCUGAGAGGGUGGAUGGUCACACGGGGACUGAGACACGGCCCAGACUCCUACGGGAGGCAGCAGUGGGGAAUAUUGCACAAUGGGCGCAAGCCUGAUGCAGCGACGCCGCGUGAGGGAUGGAGGCCUUCGGGUUGUGAACCUCUUUCGCCAGUGAAGCAGGCCUGCCUCGUUUGUGGGUGGGUUGACGGUAGCUGGAUAAGAAGCGCCGGCUAACUACGUG